RNAcentral lists this ribosomal RNA (958 nucleotides) under uncultured Synergistota bacterium. RNAcentral's name for it is "bacterial SSU rRNA". It matches the Rfam family "Bacterial small subunit ribosomal RNA", at positions 35 to 1012 of the family's 1533-position model. The record is from RNAcentral. Lineage: Bacteria; Thermotogati; Synergistota.
GNNNANNNNGGNNNNUACCAUGCAGUCGAACGGGAGUAUUGAAGAAGCUUGCUUUAGAGAUACUUUAGUGGCGGACGGGUGAGUAACGCGUGAGGAGCUGUCCUAUGCAGGGGGACAACAGCUGGAAACGGCUGCUAAUACCCCAUAAGCCGAGAGGUAAAAGGAUCAAUCCGGCAGAGGAGGUACUCGCGUCCUAUCAGCUAGUAGGUGAGGUAACGGCUCUCCUAGGCGAAGACGGGUAGCCGGCCUGAGAGGGCGAACGGCCACACUGGAACUGAGAUACGGUCCAGACUCCUACGGGAGGCAGCAGUGGGGAAUAUUGGGCAAUGGGGGAAACCCUGACCCAGCGACGCCGCGUGGGUGAAGAAAUCCUUCGGGAUGUAAAGCCCUGUUGUAUGGGAAGAGCGGAAGACGGUACCAUACGAGGAAGCCCCGGCAAACUACGUGCCAGCAGCCGCGGUAAUACGUAGGGGGCAAGCGUUGUCCGGAAUUACUGGGCGUAAAGCGCACGCAGGCUGAAUUAUAAGUCGGUAGUCAAAGGCGGAGGCUCAACCUCUGUAUAUCUAUCGAUACUGUAAAUCUGGAGUAUGUGAGAGGGAAGCGGAAUUCCCGGUGUAGCGGUGAAAUGCGUAGAUAUCGGGAGGAACACCAGUGGCGAAGGCGGCUUCCUGGCACAAUACUGACGCUCAUGUGCGAAAGCUAGGGCAGCGAACGGGAUUAGAUACCCCGGUAGUCCUAGCCGUAAACGAUGGAUACUAGGUGUGGGUGUCGCAGGGCAUCCGUGCCGCAGUUAACGCGUUAAGUAUCCCGCCCUGGGGACUACGGUCGCAAGACUGAAACUCAAAGGAAUUUGACGGGGUGCCCGCACAAGCGGUGGAGCACGUGGUUUAAUUCGAUGCAAACCGAAAAAACCUUUCCUUGGGUUUGACAUGCAGUUGGUAGUGAAAUGAAAGCGGAA